This 2039-nucleotide long non-coding RNA is filed under the name Prunus dulcis (almond). RNAcentral's name for it is "sRNA ncRNA". The record is from RNAcentral. Lineage: Eukaryota; Viridiplantae; Streptophyta; Magnoliopsida; Rosales; Rosaceae.
CAAGUAUUAAUGGAGAAUUUCUCUUGGGCUGUUUUAACCCUGGCAUGCCUGGCUGCUCUAUACCUCGUCUCAAAAAAUUUCUUCUCCCAACUCCACAAACUGAAAUAUCCACCAGGUCCUAAACCAUGGCCUAUAAUUGGCAACCUCAACCUCAUUGGUCCUCUGCCUCAUCAAUCCUUUCACAAAUUGUCCCAAACUUAUGGACCAAUAAUGCAGCUCAAUUUUGGCUCCUUCCCAGUUGUAAUUGCCUCAUCUCCAGAAAUGGCAAAACUGUUUUUAAAGAUACAUGAUCACGUAUUUGCCUCUAGACCCCAAACUGCAGCAGGCAAGUACCUCACUUAUGACCACCUCAAUGUCACUUGGGCACCUUAUGGUCCAUAUUGGCGUCAAGGCCGGAAAAUCUUCCUCUCCGAGCUAUUUAGCUCAAGAAGACUGGAGUCUUUCGAGUACAUUAGGGUUGAGGAAAGUCACGCUUUUGUGUCGCGACUCUAUGCCUUGUCAGGAAAGCAAAUCAUGCUUAAAGAGCAUCUGUCACGCCUAACUCUUAGUAUUAUGAGCAGAAUUGUGUUUGGUAAGGAGUAUUUUGGCGUGUCCAAAUUUGAGAGUUCGGUAAUGUCACUCAAAGAAUUCCAGGACACAUUGGAUGAGUUGUUCUUGCUUAGCGGGGUAUUCAACAUAGGGGAUUGGAUACCAUGGCUUAAUUUUUUAGACUUACAAGGGUAUGUAAAGCGAAUGAAGGCCUUAACGAAAAAAUUGGACCGGUUUUAUGAGUUUGUGCUCGAUGAACACAAGACAAAGAAGGAAGGAGUGGAGGAAUUUGUGUCAGAAGACAUGGUGGAUUUACUGUUGCGGCUGGUUGAUGACCCUAAUGAUCUUGAAAUUAAGCUCACUUACGACAGUGUCAAGGCAAUCACUCAGGUAGCUUCUUAAAUUAUUUCUUAUUUAAUUUCCGAACAUUAGGGUAAUGCUCUUUGGGCAAACAUAAGCAUUAUAACAUUUGCAUCCUUAGAUAUAUGAGAACUUCUGUAAAAAGACACAAGUUAAUGAUAUAAACACAAAUGAUUCACUUUGUUCAUUCAAAUUAAAACCAGGACUCAGUAGCAGGAGGCACUGAUACUUCUGCAACCACUUUGGAGUGGGCAAUGUCUGAACUCAUAAAACAACCAAACCUCAUCAAAAAGGCAACACAGGAGCUUGACAGAGUGAUUGGGAGAGAGAGAUGGGUAGAAGAGAAAGACCUUGAAAACCUUCCUUAUAUAGAUGCAAUUAUGAAAGAGACCAUGAGGAAGCACCCUGUAGUGGCAAUGCUACCACCACAUCUAGCUCUUGAAGAUUGCAAUGUGGCAGGCUAUGAUAUUUGCAAAGGAACUUUAGUGUUUGUGAACACGUGGAGCAUGGGGAGAGACCCCACGCUGUGGGAUGCACCAGAUGAGUUUAGGCCUGAGAGGUUCAUAGGGAAGGCAAUUGAUGUGAAGGGACAGAGUUUUGAGUUCUUGCCAUUUGGCUCAGGAAGGAGGAUGUGCCCUGGUUAUAGUCUUGGACUGAAAGUGAUAAGGUCUUGCUUGGCCAACAUGUUACAUGGGUUCAAUUGGAAAUUGUCUGAGAAUGUGAAAAAAGAAGAUUUGAGCAUGGAGGAAGUUUAUGGAUUGUUAACACCUCGGAAGUUCCCACUUGUUGCCGUAGUUGAACCUCGGCUACCAAUCUAUCUUUACUAGUGAUAUUGAAUCUGAGUGUCCGGAUAUGUAUUAUGAACCUUCUCUAUAAAAAUAAAACUGUGUAUGAACGUUUGUGAUGGUAACUUCCACUGCUUUGUUGAUUACACCGUCUCUGCACUCUGCAUUAUGCCUCUUCUCCUAGAAUGAGUUAGAUUAAUCUCAUCUGGGAAUAUGAACUAUAUGUUUCGAGAUUAGGGAGACUUAUUGACAUGUGUGGUGUUUGUGGGCUGUUGGACUAAUCCACCAGCUUCCAGCAUGUAAUGCUCGUUUUACAGUCUAAGAUGAUUGCCAAUGCCAGAUCUGGUGUGACAAUUUUUAUCAUAU